Molecule: unclassified non-coding RNA, 329 nt
Filed under: soil metagenome
Description: partial contains 5.8S ribosomal RNA, internal transcribed spacer 2, and large subunit ribosomal RNA
Rfam family: 5.8S ribosomal RNA (bases 1-120)
Source: RNAcentral
GAUGAAGAACGUAGCGAAACGCGAUAAGUAGUGUGAAUUACAGAAUUCAGUGAAUCAUCGAAUCUUUGAACGCACAUUGCGCCCCUUGGUAUCCCGAGGGGCAUGCCUGUUCGAGCGUCAUUUCACCACUCAAGCCUGGCUUGGUGUUGGGCGACGUCCCCUUUGGGGACGCGCCUCGAAACGCUCGGCGGCGUGGCACCGGCUUUAAGCGUAGCAGAAUCUUUCGCUUUGGAAGUCGGGGCCCCGUCUGCCGGAAGACCUACUCGCAAGGUUGACCUCGGAUCAGGCAGGGAUACCCGCUGAACUUAAGCAUAUCAAUAAGCGGAGGA